RNAcentral lists this ribosomal RNA (253 nucleotides) under uncultured bacterium. RNAcentral's name for it is "partial 16S ribosomal RNA". It matches the Rfam family "Bacterial small subunit ribosomal RNA", at positions 524 to 776 of the family's 1533-position model. The record is from RNAcentral.
UACGUAGGGUGCAAGCGUUAAUCGGAAUUACUGGGCGUAAAGCGUGCGCAGGCGGCUUUGCAAGACAGAUGUGAAAUCCCCGGGCUUAACCUGGGAACUGCAUUUGUGACUGCAUGGCUAGAGUGCGGCAGAGGGGGAUGGAAUUCCGCGUGUUGCAGUGAAAUGCGUAGAUAUCAAGAGGAACACCUGCGGCGAAGGCGGGUUGCUGGGCCGACACUGACGCUGAUGCGCGAAAGCCAGGGGAGCGAACGGG